AGUUAUGAAUUUUUAUUUACAUGCUUCACAUGUUCUUAUAACACACAUUUCGUAUUACUGUGUUUGGGGGGUUCCAAAAAGUGCAUCAACUUUGUCAAAACAUUCGUCGAACUCUAUUCCACGUAUGCAAUAGAUACUCCUCAGCUGGUGAAACUUGAUGCGUGAAGAAUAUCAUAAGAAAUGCAUUGCAAUCCCCUCCAAACUAUCGGUGCAGCCCGUAGCCUGUUUGCUCCUAUAAGAAAUGCAUUGAAAUCAUUUACACAUUAUAGGAGCAGACUGUCAACCAGAGGUGAACGCCGACUAUUUUUUUGCUCUAUUUUUGAAGAUUUUAAGUGAGUUUAACACCUGUUGAGUUUAAUAAUAAGUUGUCUUUCCUAAGGAAAUAAAUUAUUUCUCUGACUUUA
Long non-coding RNA from Folsomia candida, 404 nucleotides. RefSeq lists it as uncharacterized. The transcript is spliced from 2 exons. NCBI's taxonomy places the organism in Eukaryota, Metazoa, Arthropoda, Collembola, Entomobryomorpha, Isotomidae. The record is from RefSeq and is a predicted model, not a curated record.